UCAGGCCUAACACAUGCAAGUCGAGCGGUAACAGAGGAGCUUGCUCCUGCUGACGAGCGGCGGACGGGUGAGUAACGCGUGGGAAUCUGCCUAUUGGUGGGGGAUAGCCCGGAGAAAUCCGGAUUAAUACCGCAUAGUACCUAAGGGUUAAAGCAGGGGAUCUUCGGACCUUGCGCCAGUAGAUGAGCCCGCGUCAGAUUAGUUUGUUGGUGAGGUAAUGGCUCACCAAGACUGCGAUCUGUAGCUGGCCUGAGAGGGUGGUCAGUCACACUGGAACUGAGACACGGUCCAGACUCCUACGGGAGGCAGCAGUGGGGAAUAUUGGGCAAUGGGCGCAAGCCUGACCCAGCCAUGCCGCGUGUGUGAAGAAGGCUUUCGGGUUGUAAAGCACUUUAAGUUGGGAGGAAGGUGCGACGGUUAAUACCCGUUGUAAUUGACGUUACCAACAGAAUAAGCACCGGCUAAUUCCGUGCCAGCAGCCGCGGUAAUACGGAAGGUGCGAGCGUUAAUCGGAAUUACUGGGCGUAAAGCACACGUAGGCGGUUUGCUAAGUCAGAUGUGAAAGCCCAGGGCUUAACCUUGGAACUGCAUCUGAUACUGGCAGGCUAGAGUACAGUAGAGGGAGGUGGAAUUUCAGGUGUAGCGGUGAAAUGCGUAGAGAUCUGAAGGAACACCAGUGGCGAAGGCGGCCUCCUGGACU
Molecule: ribosomal RNA, 700 nt
Filed under: uncultured bacterium
Lineage: Bacteria
Description: bacterial SSU rRNA
Rfam family: Bacterial small subunit ribosomal RNA
Source: RNAcentral